This 253-nucleotide ribosomal RNA is filed under the name uncultured bacterium. RNAcentral's name for it is "partial 16S ribosomal RNA". It matches the Rfam family "Bacterial small subunit ribosomal RNA", at positions 524 to 776 of the family's 1533-position model. The record is from RNAcentral.
UACAGAGGUCCCGAGCGUUGUUCGGAUUCACUGGGCGUAAAGGGUGCGUAGGUGGCUUGGAAAGUUUGAUGUGAAAGCUCAGGGCUCAACCCUGAAAUGGCAUUGAAUACUAUCGAGCUGGAGGAUUGGAGGGGGGACUGGAAUUCUUGGUGUAGCAGUGAAAUGCGUAGAUAUCAAGAGGAACACCAGUGGCGAAGGCGAGACCCUGGACAACACCUGACACUGAGGCACGAAAGCCGGGGGAGCAAACAGG